GAAUCAAUUUGUUGGUCGUGCCUCGGUACGUACUGGUAUUAUUGGUUUCUACCUUCUGAGGAACCUUGAUGUCAUUAGUUUGGUGUCUUGGGGAAUCAGGACUGUUACUUUGAAAAAAUUAGAGUGUUUAAAGCAGGCAUACGCUUGAAUACAUUAGCAUGGAAUAAUGAAAUAGGACGUUUGACCCUAUUUUGUUGGUUUCUAGGAUCGACGUA
RNAcentral lists this ribosomal RNA (215 nucleotides) under uncultured Glomeromycotina. Its description in RNAcentral is "partial small subunit ribosomal RNA". The stretch from base 37 to 215 matches the Rfam family "Eukaryotic small subunit ribosomal RNA", at positions 684 to 864 of the family's 1831-position model. The record is from RNAcentral. Lineage: Eukaryota; Fungi; Glomeromycota.